GCCCUCGUAGCUCAACGGAUAGAGCGCUUGUCUUCGGAACAAGAGGCUAGGGGUUCGAGUCCCUUCGAGGGUA
This 73-nucleotide transfer RNA is filed under the name Chloroflexota bacterium. RNAcentral describes it as "tRNA-Arg". It matches the Rfam family "tRNA". Rfam says of the family: Transfer RNA (tRNA) molecules are approximately 80 nucleotides in length. Their secondary structure includes four short double-helical elements and three loops (D, anti-codon, and T loops). Further hydrogen bonds mediate the characteristic L-shaped molecular structure. tRNAs have two regions of fundamental functional importance: the anti-codon, which is responsible for specific mRNA codon recognition, and the 3' end, to which the tRNAs corresponding amino acid is attached (by aminoacyl-tRNA synthetases). tRNAs cope with the degeneracy of the genetic code in two manners: having more than one tRNA (with a specific anti-codon) for a particular amino acid; and 'wobble' base-pairing, i.e. permitting non-standard base-pairing at the 3rd anti-codon position. RNAcentral also lists the same sequence under 2 other names. The record is from RNAcentral. Lineage: Bacteria; Bacillati; Chloroflexota.